UACGGAGGGUGCAAGCGUUAUUCGGAAUCACUGGGCGUAAAGGACGCGUAGGCGGGUUGGCAAGUCAGAUGUGAAAUCCUACAGCUUAACUGUAGAACUGCAUUUGAAACUGCUAACCUAGAGUAUGGGAGGGGGAGAUGGAAUUAGUGGUGUAGGUGUAAAAUCCGUAGAUAUCACUAGGAAUACCGAAAGCGAAGGCGAUCUCCUGGAACAUAACUGACGCUAAGGCGUGAAAGCGUGGGGAGCAAACAGGAGUAGAAACCCUAGUAGUCC
This 273-nucleotide ribosomal RNA is filed under the name uncultured bacterium. Its description in RNAcentral is "partial 16S ribosomal RNA". It matches the Rfam family "Bacterial small subunit ribosomal RNA", at positions 524 to 796 of the family's 1533-position model. The record is from RNAcentral.